Long non-coding RNA from Gadus morhua (Atlantic cod), 591 nucleotides. NCBI's taxonomy places the organism in Eukaryota, Metazoa, Chordata, Actinopteri, Gadiformes, Gadidae. The record is from Ensembl.
AUGGUUAUAUAUGUAUCUAUUUUCUUGAUUGAAUGGCAGAACAACUUUAACGUAUUCUUCCAUAUUUUCUUUCACCCAGACAAGCCAGAGGAGUGUGUGCCCGAAGGAGAGUGUGAGGAUCGUGGAAAGGGUUGUGACAAGGGAAAGGGAAAGGAUGGCGACUCUGAUGGAGUAAGAAACUGCCAUGGAAAGUCGGGUGAACGUGGGGGACACGGACACGGAAGGGGAGGAGGCCCGGACUGUGGAGAGCGUGGUGGAAAGGGUGGUCGUGGGGGAAAGAACAACUAAUGACUUUGUUUUGUCUGAAGUAAAAUAAUAUAUAUAUAUAUAUAUAUAUAUAUAUAUAUAUAUAUAUAUAUAUAUAUAUAUAUAUUAAAGAGACUAACCCUAAACAAGCGUAUCUCCAAUUGUAAUCCAUUGCUUCAUUGUAUUCAAUAAAACAAUUUGACCCAAAUCAACUGUCAUGUCUUCAAUUAUUCUUCAUCAUGAUAUUUACCAACUGUGUGACCUGGUCUAACCUGGUCAGAGGCAUGUGCUUAGCGCACGAAAAACCACACCCAUGUUGAGGGUGUGAAAACAAACAAAUUCAAC